AAUCAACGCUGGCGGCGUGCCUCAGACAUGCAAGUCGAACGAUUAAAGCUCUCUUCGGAGAGUGUAUAGAGUGGCGCACGGGUGAGUAACACGUAAGUAAUCUACCCUCGAGUGGGGGAAUAACAACCGGAAACGGUUGCUAAUACCGCAUAAUGCAGCGGCACCGCAAGGUGACAGUUGUUAAAGAUUUAUCGCUUGAGGAGGAGCUUGCGGCAGAUUAGCUAGUUGGUAGGGUAACGGCUUACCAAGGCUACGAUCUGUAACCGGUCUAAGAGGACGGUCGGUCACACUGACACUGAAUAACGGGUCAGACUCCUACGGGAGGCAGCAGUCGGGAAUUUUGGGCAAUGGGCGAAAGCCUGACCCAGCAACGACCGCGUGAAGGAUGAAGUAUUUCGGUAUGUAAACUUCG
This 412-nucleotide ribosomal RNA is filed under the name uncultured bacterium. Its description in RNAcentral is "bacterial SSU rRNA". It matches the Rfam family "Bacterial small subunit ribosomal RNA", at positions 32 to 434 of the family's 1533-position model. The record is from RNAcentral.